UUCCGCUGUUCCGAUUCCGUUGGUGUCCCUACUAUCCUAACUGAUCGAAUUGAUGCUGCUGCCCGCUAGGACGGACACCCUGGUCUCUGGUUCCUGUUAUUCUGAGUACCAAAGCUGUUGCUCCAUUCCCGUCUUUCCUUGCCAUUAUUAAUUUCCCCUUCAAAGUUACUGUUGCUGCUAUUAGAGUUGUGGUUGAUGUUGUUAUCCUCGCGUUAGAACAUGGAGGGUUGCUGCAUUUCCAAUUUUGUGUGGUUAAUGCGACAUCGAGUGACACAGGUUUGAAGACGCG
Long non-coding RNA from Arachis stenosperma, 289 nucleotides. RefSeq lists it as uncharacterized. Lineage: Eukaryota; Viridiplantae; Streptophyta; Magnoliopsida; Fabales; Fabaceae. The record is from RefSeq and is a predicted model, not a curated record. The transcript has 3 exons.